Molecule: long non-coding RNA, 2233 nt
Organism: Triticum urartu
Lineage: Eukaryota; Viridiplantae; Streptophyta; Magnoliopsida; Poales; Poaceae
Source: RefSeq, a predicted model, not a curated record
CCGCUGGAUUCGACGGCAGCCCUCAUCCCCCUCACACUCUCACCCCUCGCCCGUCUCACCCCCUCGUCCAAACCCUAGCUUUCCUCGCGCCGCACCCGAGCCGUGCCUCCUUCCCUCCGCACGCCGCCACAGCUCGCCGCCGACGGCCUCCACUUCUCUCCCACCCGCCUCUCUCCCACCCCAGACGGAUCGCCCAACACAUCCAUCUCUCCUCUCCUGCAACCCCCCUGUCUCUCUCCCCGCACUUCACAGCGACAACAAGCACUCCCAGAUCCCUCCGGAUGCCGGACUUGGAGGAGUCUGUGCAGCCCAAGCCCGCCGACCCCUCCGCCCCGCCCCCCGCCGCCGGUAGAAGAUGGAGGCCCCGAGCUCCCCCUACGCCUCCUCGCCCUAGCCGCGCCCAAGCGCGCGCCCCUCUCCUCCCCGCUGCCCCCGCAGGACCGCCCCGACGCCGACCACGACGCUGCCGAGCCCGAAGAGAAGCUGCAACCUGCAGAAUGCAAGAAAGGGCUGAUGUGUGUUGCGUCCUCGCCAUUUCUGGACAUCAAGGUUCUUGUCAUCGUCCUAUGUGAGCUGCGAAUAGCUCAUCCAUCCCACCAACCCCGAUAAUUUUUAUAUAUGCUUGCUAUGGGUUUCCAUUCAAAGCUAUAAGGUCGUUAACUGCUAUCUUAUUCAGUUUUUUUCUUCCCUGUAUCUAUCAAGCUUAGUCAUGUUUACACACAGCUUCAGUAAAUGGCAUUGUAUAUGUUUUUCUCAGUAAAUGCAAGACAUUGUAUUCAACACUAAUCUCCUAAGUAUGCCAUGAGCAUGUGAAUAGCUCAAUCCUGUUGUCUUUGUGCUUAGUGCUUACUGUCUAGGUGUUCUCAGUUUACAAAGGGUUUUGGGAGUACUUGCCUGUUGCAAAUGGAUGGGCCUGUUGUUAGAUGCAUGAGUCUGACACUCCAGUGAUUUCUAACUUAGACACUUGUAUUUAUGCAACUUUACCAACAAUUUUGUUUGCAACAGCAUUAUGCACAUGAGGCAGGACUAUACAAGUGAAUUGUCGCAGUAAGGUCCUUCCAUGGAUUUCAUGUGGCUCCUUGAGUUGUAAGAUGCAGCUCCAACAUUGAAUAUAUUUUGAAUGUUUCCAAAGAUACUCUCUGUUACGUUUACUUCAAUAUAUACAUGCAUGUUACUGAUAGAAGCUGGCUGCAGGAAUCUGUACACAUAUAUACUCUCUUGUACAGUGCAUUGCUAGAUCACUCACUAGGCAUUAUGUAAUACUACUAGGAGAUAUGGGUGAGGGACUAAAAGGAUGAUACGCUUCCAUGAAUUUAUUUGUAAGAAGUUUUUCUUGGCUGUGUACAAAUCAACCCAAAUGAAUUUAUGUUCUUUUUACUUCCAGAGUUAUAGUGCACUCAUACUGUCAUCACAUUGCGUGUUCUUGCUGCAUAUACCUCUCUAUUUGCUUAGGCAGACAACUACUUAUGUAAUAUGCAAACAACAACAACAACACAGCUAGUGAUGCUAAUUCUACCUCUUGUUACAAAAUCAGAAUUCCUCUUGUUGCACAUGACAACUCUGUUUCCUCUUGUUACAGAAUCAGAAUUCCUCUGCUUCUUAUGCUACUCUGCUAGAACUCUGCUUUUCUACUUGUCAUAUUGAAUAUACAUGUUCUAAACAUUAUACAGUACUUUCGUUGUUAACUCCAAACAACUUGGGAUCUUCUCUUCUACAUGCAGCAACUGGCUUACCAGUACGCCGCCAAGGGGGCAUGCCUUGCCCUGGUAGCAAGGAGGGGGCAUACCUUGCCCUGCAGACAGCAAGGGUGACUAGUGAUAUUCAGUUUUUGUGUGUGUUUUCUACACACACACACACACACACACACACAUGGUCCUUCCUUUUAAAUCUCCUCUGCUGCUUACUGACAGAGUACUAUGCAUGUACAGUAGUUGAGUAGUAGUGUGUAGGUUAUGGCUGUAGUGUGCUCUCACGUUGCAUAAAAUUCUGGUAUUGUGUUCAUAUAGCUAAUCUGCUGCUGUUGUGCAUAAAAUUCCAGGAUCUUUGCAUGUAAGUUCUGGCUGUAGUGUGCUCUCCCGUUGUACAUGCCCCUAUCUUUAGUAAGAUUAAAUUGCUACUAUUAAUGAUGAAUGGUUGAGUUUUAAAACUUGAAGCAACACCUACUUUCUGGUCCUGUAGUGUUUAAAACUGAUAAUUAUGAUGCAUUGGUCGGCCAUAUGGCCUUGUUUUUUAA